GAAUGUAUGUUGAAUGACAAAGCUCUUCCCCACAGGGCCAGGAUGAUCACAGAGUACCUCCAGGAUUUGGGAGUGGAGAGGAUGAGAUGACCUGCUGUGAG
Melanotaenia boesemani (Boeseman's rainbowfish) is the source of this 101-nucleotide long non-coding RNA. RefSeq lists it as uncharacterized. The transcript is spliced from 3 exons. The record is from RefSeq and is a predicted model, not a curated record. NCBI's taxonomy places the organism in Eukaryota, Metazoa, Chordata, Actinopteri, Atheriniformes, Melanotaeniidae.